GGACAUUUAGUUUAGUGGUAUGAUUCUAGCUUUAGGUGUGAGAGGUCCCAAGUUCAAUCCUUGGAAUGCCCC
Molecule: transfer RNA, 72 nt
Filed under: Theobroma cacao (cacao)
Lineage: Eukaryota; Viridiplantae; Streptophyta; Magnoliopsida; Malvales; Malvaceae
Rfam family: tRNA
About the family: Transfer RNA (tRNA) molecules are approximately 80 nucleotides in length. Their secondary structure includes four short double-helical elements and three loops (D, anti-codon, and T loops).
Source: Rfam by way of RNAcentral